RNAcentral lists this ribosomal RNA (1334 nucleotides) under uncultured bacterium. RNAcentral describes it as "bacterial SSU rRNA". It matches the Rfam family "Bacterial small subunit ribosomal RNA", at positions 27 to 1381 of the family's 1533-position model. The record is from RNAcentral.
GGAUGAACGCUGGCGGCGUGCUUAACACAUGCAAGUCGAACGUGAUCCAUUAGCAGUAGUGGUGAAAGUGGCGAACGGGUGAGUAACACGUAGAUAACCUGCCCUGGAGUGGGGGAUAACCAUUGGAAACGAUGGCUAAUACCGCAUGAAUCUGUCCUUACGGGAGUGAGGGUAGAGAAAACUCUGGUGCUACAGGAGGGGUCUGCGUCCGAUUAGCUAGUUGGCGGGGUAAAGGCCCACCAAGGCGACGAUCGGUAGCUGGUCUGAGAGGACGAUCAGCCACACGGGAACUGAGACACGGUCCCGACUCCUACGGGGGGCAGCAGUGAGGAAUAUUGGGCAAUGGGCGCAAGCCUGACCCAGCAACGCCGCGUGGAGGAAGACGGCCUUUGGGUUGUAAACUCCUUUUGUCGGGGAAGAGGAAGGACGGUACCCGGCGAAUAAGUCACGGCUAACUACGUGCCAGCAGCCGCGGUAAUACGUAGGUGACAAGCGUUAUCCGGAAUUACUGGGCGUAAAGCGCACGCAGGCGGCUGAUCAAGUCUGACGUGAAAUCUCCCGGCUUAACUGGGAGGGGUCGUUGGAAACUGGUUGGCUUGAGGUGGUGAGAGGGGUGUGGAAUUCCCGGUGUAGUGGUGGAAUGCGUAGAUAUCGGGAGGAACACCAGUGGCGAAAGCGGCACCCUGGCACUGACCUGACGCUCAUGUGCGAAAGCGUGGGGAGCAAACGGGAUUAGAUACCCCGGUAGUCCACGCCGUAAACGAUGAGUACUAGGUGUGGGUGGAGUCAAAUCUAUCCGUGCCGAAGCAAACGCGCUAAGUACUCCGCCUGGGGAGUACGGCCGCAAGGCUAAAACUCAAAGGAAUUGACGGGGGCCCGCACAAGCAGCGGAGCGUGUGGUUUAAUUCGAUGAUACGCGAAGAACCUUACCUGGGCUUGAACUGUGCCUGACAGGUGUAGAGAUACACCCUUCUUCGGACAGGUAUAGAGGUGCUGCAUGGCUGUCGUCAGCUCGUGUCGUGAGAUGUUGGGUUAAGUCCCGCAACGAGCGCAACCCUUACCCCUUGUUGCUAACAGGUAACGCUGGGCACUCUAGGGGAACUGCCGGUGAUAAACCGGAGGAAGGUGGGGAUGACGUCAAGUCAUCACGGCCCUUAUGUCCAGGGCUACACACGUGCUACAAUGGCCGGUACAAAGAGAUGCAAUGCCGCGAGGUGGAGCAAAUCUCAAAAAACCGGUCUCAGUUCGGAUUGGAGUCUGCAACUCGACUCCAUGAAGCUGGAAUCGCUAGUAAUCGUAGAUCAGCACGCUACGGUGAAUACGUUCCCGGGCCU